GACGAACGCUGGCGGCGUGCCUAAUACAUGCAAGUCGAACGCUUCUUUUUCACCGAACUUCGGUUCAUCGAAAAAGAGGAGUGGCGAACGGGUGAGUAACACGUGGGUAACCUGCCCAUCAGAAGGGGAUAACACUUGGAAACAGGUGCUAAUACCGUAUAAUGCUUUUUCUCGCAUGAGAGCAAGCUGAAAGGCGCUUUUGCGUCACUGAUGGAUGGACCCGCGGUGCAUUAGCUAGUUGGUGAGGUAACGGCUCACCAAGGCCACGAUGCAUAGCCGACCUGAGAGGGUGAUCGGCCACACUGGGACUGAGACACGGCCCAGACUCCUACGGGAGGCAGCAGUAGGGAAUCUUCGGCAAUGGACGAAAGUCUGACCGAGCAACGCCGCGUGAGUGAAGAAGGUUUUCGGAUCGUAAAACUCUGUUGUUAGAGAAGAACAAGGAUGAGAGUAAAAUGUUCAUCCCUUGACGUAUCUAACCAGAAG
Molecule: ribosomal RNA, 486 nt
Filed under: Enterococcus sp. oral taxon A43
Lineage: Bacteria; Bacillati; Bacillota; Bacilli; Lactobacillales; Enterococcaceae
Description: bacterial SSU rRNA
Rfam family: Bacterial small subunit ribosomal RNA
Source: RNAcentral